ACUGUAGCUCGCGAACUCUCUGGGCUCUUCGCGAGUUCGCCACAUGCUUUUCGGGGCCGUCUGAAAUCCAAGGUAUUCAGGAUAGCUAGCAUGAAUUUAUGACAAUGUUCGCUACAGUUCGCGUUCCUGCUCGGUUGGUUCGCUGCUGUGUGGUAUGCACGAAGCUGAACGGAGUCUCCCGUCCGAUUGCAUCAUUCGAAGCCGGCAAAACUUUACAGUAUGCGGGGGCGAACCAGCGGAUACGUCAGUUCCACGCAUCGUCUAGUCUGUGCAGGAGGGACUACUACGAGGUUCUUGGCGUGCCCAAAAACUCCAAUCAAAAAGACAUCAAAAAGGCGUACUACCAGCUCGCAAAGAAGUACCACCCAGACACUAACAAGGGGGACCCUGAAGCAGCAAAGAAGUUCCAGGAGGUCUCUGAAGCCUAUGAGAUACUGAGCGAUGACUCCAAGAGGCAGCAGUACGACCAGUGGGGCACAACGUCGGACUUCCCCGGAGGAGCGGGAGCCGGAGCGGGUGCCGGAGCGGGCUCCCAAGGCACCUGGGGUCCGGGAGGUUUCCACUCCACCAUCGACCCCGAAGAACUCUUCCGCAAGAUCUUCGGCGACCUGGGGUCGCGGACGGGAUUCUCGGACUUCGACUUCUCAGAAUCCCAGUUCGGCUUCGGCGGAGCGCAGGAGGUGAUUCUGAAUCUGACCUUCCAACAAGCGGCCCGUGGGGUGAACAAGGACGUCAACGUGAACGUCGUCGACACAUGUCCACGGUGUCAGGGGUCCCGCAGCGAGCCUGGUAGCCGCGCCGUCCGAUGCCCCUACUGCAACGGCAGCGGCAUGGAGACGAUCAGCACUGGCCCCUUCGUGAUGCGCAGCACCUGCAGGCACUGCCACGGUUCCCGCAUGCACAUUCAGCACCCUUGCCAGCAGUGCCACGCCAAGGGCACCACCGUGCAGCGGAAGAUGGUGACCGUGCCUGUGCCAGCCGGUGUGGAGGAUGGCCAGACCGUUCGCAUGCAGGUCGGCAAGAAAGAGCUCUUCGUCACCUUCAAGGUGGCUCGGAGUGACUACUUCCGUCGGGACGGUCCGGAUGUCCACACGGACGCCGGCAUCACCCUCUCUCAGGCAGUCCUGGGGGGCACGGUCCGUGUUCAGGGCAUCUACGACGACAUCAUGCUUAAGAUCCCGGCUGGAACGUCAUCUCACACCAAGAUCCGUCUGGCGAACAAAGGGGUGAAGCGUCUCAACUCGUCUGGCUACGGAGAUCACUAUGUUCACAUCAAGAUACGCAUUCCUCAGAAGAUGAGUGACAAGCAGAAGGCCCUGGUGCAAGCUUACGCAGAACUCGAGGACGACACCCCAGGCACGGUGGACGGCAUCGUCAACACGAGGCAAGGCGACAAGAAAACGUACGCCGGGAAAGAUGAGACUCCGCAAGACGGGGACACAGGCUUUCUUGGCAAAAUUAAGAAGGCGAUAUUCGGAUGACCCGCAGCUACAUUUUAGGUUCCAGUCAGCCCCUUUAGGAGUUUUGAAAGGCAAAACUGCAAUGGACGAUCCCGAAGGCCUUGUCAGACAGAUCCGUACCGCCCUCGAAGAGACCUCUCUCGAAGAGCCUGUUGUCGAGAAACUGGAAGGCCAAAAUGACAGCAAGGCAUAGCGGUUUUUUUAAGGC
This 1668-nucleotide unclassified non-coding RNA is filed under the name Ixodes scapularis (black-legged tick). RNAcentral describes it as "protein tumorous imaginal discs, mitochondrial, transcript variant X1". Lineage: Eukaryota; Metazoa; Arthropoda; Arachnida; Ixodida; Ixodidae. The record is from RNAcentral.